Molecule: non-coding RNA, 202 nt
Organism: Oryza glumipatula
Lineage: Eukaryota; Viridiplantae; Streptophyta; Magnoliopsida; Poales; Poaceae
Source: Rfam
UUUACAGUCAUGGGUAUCUGUGCUCGAUGUUUGACUGUCCAUCUUAUUUAAAUAAAUUAUAGAAAAACUAAAUAUAAAUAGUCACAUUAAGUAAUAUUCAUCUUUUAUCAUCUAAUAACAAUAAAAAUAAUAAUCAUAAAAAAAUUUUAAAUAAGAUGAACGGUAAAACGUUGGACAUAAACAGUGUAAAACUACAUUUAUU